Leptonychotes weddellii (Weddell seal) is the source of this 2393-nucleotide long non-coding RNA. RefSeq lists it as uncharacterized. NCBI's taxonomy places the organism in Eukaryota, Metazoa, Chordata, Mammalia, Carnivora, Phocidae. The record is from RefSeq and is a predicted model, not a curated record.
CGUCGGCUGGCUCCGUGCUGCUAUUGGCUGCUGACUUGGCGCAGGCGCCAUGGCCCCUGCGUUGGCGUUCGCGGUUGCAGAGGCAGGGCUUUGGCCACUGGAGACCAUAGGUUCGAAUCCCGUCUGGGAACUUCAAUUUGCGCCACCUGUAAAGAAGCUGGCAUUAUUGGCUAGCACAGAAUGUGUCGGGACCCACUCACUGUUCACAGCAGCACUGAGAAAAAUUCUUCACUGGGGUUCCUGACGUCUGUAUUUCAGGCUACCUGUAGGUGUGAGUUCUGCAGAGAAGGUUCAAGUGAUCUCUGCACCCAACGUGGGGCCCGAACUCACAACCCUGAGAUCAAGAGUCGCGUGCCCUUCUGACUGAGCCUGUCGGGCACCCCUAACUGGUUCUUCCUGAUACCCUCUUACUGAGACAUCCCUUGGCUCCCAUGGUGUGUAUUCUCCCUCACCGAAAUGAAUAAUGAACCCUACUUGUUCAACUACAGGGGAAGCCAGCCACCAUGUUGUGAGGACACUCAAGCAGCCGCAUGGAGAGAUCUAUGUACCAAAGAACUGAGGCACCCCAGCCAAAAGCCAUCGCUAAAUUGCCAGCAAUGGUCAACUGUAUACCUGGCCUGUCCCCAGUGUCCUGCAAGUCUGGAGGAAGAGGCAGCCAACGUAAGGCAUGUCUACGUCCUACUCCAGAGUGUGCGUGUUCCGAGUAGUAAAAGGCGCUCCUCCUGGUCAGACACUGCUUGGUGGUAAGCUGAACCCUUGCGAAAUGAGAAGUGGAGCCUUUCCAGGUGACGCAACCCUAUGCUGAAGUACAUGGCCUGAUAAAAGGAACUCUGCCUGCAUUUCGGUUCCCGCCUCCCUCUUUGCCAGGUACCCUUAAGAAGGCAACCCAGUCCAGAAGUAUUUCGCUGUGCUUUCAACUACCAGCUGGAAACGCACGCCCCUGCCAGGAAGUCCCUGUCACACUCAGGCCAACCGCCCCCCACCUUUCCCCGGACAGGAAAAGCAGGGAAGCUGCAGGCACACAGUGAGGCGAGCUGGGCGCACGCGGUGGGAGCAUGUGGCCGGAAGAGCUGCCCGCGCGCGCGCGCGCGCACGUCGGGGCCCGGCUCCCUACCUCUCCCACGUACUCCAUGACGAAGCUGUUCUUGCGGAUCUUCUCCAGCGUGCGGACGCCCCAGCCGCGCCCGUCGUCCGUGCGGAAGAUGCAGAGGUCAUAGCGGAUGCCCUUCUGCACCACGCGGUUGGGGCAGUCAUAGCCGCAGCGGCAGCGGGAGUUGCACUCGUAGAUGGGCAGGCCGGCGCGCAGCCGCACCUGACCCUGGUCGUUGUAGGCAAACUUGUGCAGGGACGCCCCGGGGCAGCAGCCUCCAGCGGGGGCCCACAGACAGUCCUGGCACUCGCAGCCCACCGCCACCUGGUUGAGGGUGAUGCCCUCACCCACACGGUACUCGUUGAUGUAUACGAAAGCCCGCGGGGGGCCGUCCAGGUCCACCUCGUUCUCCACGGUGAUGCGUCCCAGGUGGCUGCGCUUGGCAUUGAGCUCCUGCUCCCAGCGCCGGAGCGCCCGCCUCUGCUUGGCCUUCUGUACCAGGUAGUUGGCCAAGCUUGGGUCCAGGUGCCGGGGGGGCUUUGACCGGUGGUGCCGCCGGAGCAGCUCCCUUUCUAAGUCCUUGUGGAACUGCUUGAGAAUGCGCACGCACUUGAGAUUCUGCCGUGGCUCCCAGGUGCUCUCGGAGUCUGGGUAUCCACGCCAUUUUACCAGGUACUCGACUUCAAAGUCAUAGAGAUUCCUCUUGGAGAUGCCGAGGGCAGGGCAGGAGAGCUUGGCCAGGCGGCACAGGUCCUGUAGCUGAUUCCAAGAAGACUUGCAACACACACUGCAGCCUAGAACACGGAGAGCAGAAAGAACUUAAUGGGCAUCCUGGCGAAGCCAUGGGUCAAAGGGGACCCCAAAUCCUCUCUGGGACUUCCAAAGGACUGCCUCAGAGUCAGUGAGAUUUAAUCCACAGGCCUUCCCAAUGCUGACACCCUUCUACAACAAAAAUGUGCCACUUCUUCAACCCCAGUGCUCAUUCCAAGGCUACCCCUGGAGCAGUAGGCCUCAAAGUGGGAUCUGCUGGAUGGAUUAUCCUAAAGGAAUCUAUUCCCAGAGCUUCCAACUCCCUCCAUACUAUUCCUAAAACUGCCCGCAAACGGGCCUAGGGUUCAGGACCUAAUCAUCCCUCUCCCCACUUUGCAAAAUAAAGAGAACAAACCCCCCCCAUCUCAGUAGGGUGCAUUGCCCCAGGGGAACUGGUGGGGAUGGGAUUACAACCUGUAGGCACCAAACAAAGGCUUAACUGGAAAGACUGGUCCGGAAUCCCUUAUCUGAAACUCCUGGGGCUAGUUGUGUU